RNAcentral lists this ribosomal RNA (246 nucleotides) under Priestia megaterium. Its description in RNAcentral is "Bacillus megaterium partial 16S ribosomal RNA". It matches the Rfam family "Bacterial small subunit ribosomal RNA", at positions 555 to 801 of the family's 1533-position model. Lineage: Bacteria; Bacillati; Bacillota; Bacilli; Caryophanales; Bacillaceae. The record is from RNAcentral.
UGGGCGUAAGCGCGCGCAGGCGGUUUCUUAAGUCUGAUGUGAAAGCCCACGGCUCAACCGUGGAGGGUCAUUGGAAACUGGGGAACUUGAGUGCAGAAGAGAAAAGCGGAAUUCCACGUGUAGCGGUGAAAUGCGUAGAGAUGUGGAGGAACACCAGUGGCGAAGGCGGCUUUUUGGUCUGUAACUGACGCUGAGGCGCGAAAGCGUGGGGAGCGAACAGGAUUAGAUACCCUGGUAGUCCACGCC